GAAAUGCGAUAAGUAAUGUGAAUUGCAGAAUUCAGUGAAUCAUCGAAUCUUUGAACGCACCUUGCACCCUUUGGUAUUCCGAAGGGUACACCCGUUUGAGUGUCAUUGUAAUCUCACCCCCUUGACUUUUUUGUUGAUCGGUGUGGACCUGGAUGUUGCCGUGUAACAAACGGCUCGUCUGAAAUGCCUGAGUGUACCCUGCUUUGCAGCGUAUUCGGUGUGAUAAAUCUUUACCGGAGUUGACUUUUUCGAGUCGCGCUUGUACCUGUGGGCUCUAUGCUUCCAAACAGUCCUGACAAGGACAAUCUUUGACAAUUUGACCUCAAAUCGGGUGGGACUACCCGCUGAACUUAA
This 354-nucleotide unclassified non-coding RNA is filed under the name uncultured Serendipita. RNAcentral describes it as "sequence contains ITS1". The stretch from base 1 to 105 matches the Rfam family "5.8S ribosomal RNA", at positions 50 to 154 of the family's 154-position model. The record is from RNAcentral. Lineage: Eukaryota; Fungi; Basidiomycota; Agaricomycetes; Sebacinales.